Molecule: ribosomal RNA, 555 nt
Filed under: Alternaria sp. YLM1
Lineage: Eukaryota; Fungi; Ascomycota; Dothideomycetes; Pleosporales; Pleosporaceae
Description: eukaryotic LSU rRNA
Rfam family: 5.8S ribosomal RNA (bases 223-376)
Source: RNAcentral
UUGGAAGGUAAAAAGCGUAACAAGGUCUCCGUAGGUGAACCUGCGGAGGGAUCAUUACACAAAUAUGAAGGCGGGCUGGAACCUCUCGGGGUUACAGCCUUGCUGAAUUAUUCACCCUUGUCUUUUGCGUACUUCUUGUUUCCUUGGUGGGUUCGCCCACCACUAGGACAAACAUAAACCUUUUGUAAUUGCAAUCAGCGUCAGUAACAAAUUAAUAAUUACAACUUUCAACAACGGAUCUCUUGGUUCUGGCAUCGAUGAAGAACGCAGCGAAAUGCGAUAAGUAGUGUGAAUUGCAGAAUUCAGUGAAUCAUCGAAUCUUUGAACGCACAUUGCGCCCUUUGGUAUUCCAAAGGGCAUGCCUGUUCGAGCGUCAUUUGUACCCUCAAGCUUUGCUUGGUGUUGGGCGUCUUGUCUCUAGCUUUGCUGGAGACUCGCCUUAAAGUAAUUGGCAGCCGGCCUACUGGUUUCGGAGCGCAGCACAAGUCGCACUCUCUAUCAGCAAAGGUCUAGCAUCCAUUAAGCCUUUUUUCAACUUUGACCUCGAUCAGUAGU